Molecule: transfer RNA, 88 nt
Filed under: Caudoviricetes sp.
Lineage: Duplodnaviria; Heunggongvirae; Uroviricota; Caudoviricetes
Description: tRNA-Ser
Rfam family: tRNA
About the family: Transfer RNA (tRNA) molecules are approximately 80 nucleotides in length.
Source: RNAcentral
GGAGAGUUGGGUGAGUGGCUUAAACCACCGUCCUGCUAAGACGGAGAACCUCAAAAGGGUUCCGCAAGUUCGAAUCUUGCACUCUCCG